UCUGAAAUGUAGACACAUUCAGAAACUGGGUGGUGAUGGCGCAGUGGUAUGACACGUGCCUUUGGUGUGCGAGACCUGGGUUCGAUUCCCACUGCGAUACAUCAACCAAUGUGUCCCUGAGCAAGACACUUAACCCCCAGUUGCUCCAGAGGUGUGCGACCUCUGACGUAUAUAGCAAUUGUAAGUCGCUUUGGAUAA
Long non-coding RNA from Sander lucioperca (pikeperch), 198 nucleotides. RefSeq lists it as uncharacterized. NCBI's taxonomy places the organism in Eukaryota, Metazoa, Chordata, Actinopteri, Perciformes, Percidae. The transcript has 3 exons. The record is from RefSeq and is a predicted model, not a curated record.